GAUGAACGCUGGCGGCGUGCCUAAUACAUGCAAGUCGAGCGAACGGACGAGAAGCUUGCUUUUCUGAUGUUAGCGGCGGACGGGUGAGUAACACGUGGAUAACCUACCUAUAAGACUGGGAUAACUUCGGGAAACCGGAGCUAAUACCGGAUAAUAUUUUGAACCGCAUGGUUCAAAAGUGAAAGACGGUCUUGCUGUCACUUAUAGAUGGAUCCGCGCUGCAUUAGCUAGUUGGUAAGGUAACGGCUUACCAAGGCAACGAUGCAUAGCCGACCUGAGAGGGUGAUCGGCCACACUGGAACUGAGACACGGUCCAGACUCCUACGGGAGGCAGCAGUAGGGAAUCUUCCGCAAUGGGCGAAAGCCUGACGGAGCAACGCCGCGUGAGUGAUGAAGGUCUUCGGAUCGUAAAACUCUGUUAUUAGGGAAGAACAUAUGUGUAAGUAACUGUGCACAUCUUGACGGUACCUAAUCAGAAAGCCACGGCUAACUACGUGCCAGCAGCCGCGGUAAUACGUAGGUGGCAAGCGUUAUCCGGAAUUAUUGGGCGUAAAGCGCGCGUAGGCGGUUUUUUAAGUCUGAUGUGAAAGCCCACGGCUCAACCGUGGAGGGUCAUUGGAAACUGGAAAACUUGAGUGCAGAAGAGGAAAGUGGAAUUCCAUGUGUAGCGGUGAAAUGCGCAGAGAUGUGGAGGAACACCAGUGGCGAAGGCGACUUUCUGGUCUGUAACUGACGCUGAUGUGCGAAAGCGUGGGGAUCAAACAGGAUUAGAUACCCUGGUAGUCCACGCCGUAAACGAUGAGUGCUAAGUGUUAGGGGGUUUCCGCCCCUUAGUGCUGCAGCUAACGCAUUAAGCACUCCGCCUGGGGAGUACGACCGCAAGGUUGAAACUCAAAGGAAUUGACGGGGGCCCGCACAAGCGGUGGAGCACGUGGUUUAAUUCGAAGCAACGCGAAGAACCUUACCAAAUCUUGACAUCCUUUGACAACUCUAGAGAUAGAGCCUUCCCCUUCGGGGGACAAAGUGACAGGUGGUGCAUGGUUGUCGUCAGCUCGUGUCGUGAGAUGUUGGGUUAAGUCCCGCAACGAGCGCAACCCUUAAGCUUAGUUGCCAUCAUUAAGUUGGGCACUCUAAGUUGACUGCCGGUGACAAACCGGAGGAAGGUGGGGAUGACGUCAAAUCAUCAUGCCCCUUAUGAUUUGGGCUACACACGUGCUACAAUGGACAAUACAAAGGGCAGCGAAACCGCGAGGUCAAGCAAAUCCCAUAAAGUUGUUCUCAGUUCGGAUUGUAGUCUGCAACUCGACUACAUGAAGCUGGAAUCGCUAGUAAUCGUAGAUCAGCAUGCUACGGUGAAUACGUUCCCGGGUCU
This 1372-nucleotide ribosomal RNA is filed under the name uncultured bacterium. Its description in RNAcentral is "bacterial SSU rRNA". It matches the Rfam family "Bacterial small subunit ribosomal RNA", at positions 28 to 1381 of the family's 1533-position model. The record is from RNAcentral.